AAGAGAAGCUGGAGGGGAAAAAGAAUAACAAGACUGCCAUGGCAAUCAGCAGUGUCUUCUUGAGAUGUUGUCUUCUUGAGAUGUUGGAAGGUGCCUGUAGCACAGCAGAUGACCAGUUGCAUCAUCAAGCCAAGUCAGCAGUGGCAGAGGCCUGUUCAGAAGAGUCAGCCACAUGUCAUGGUGGCUCAUGGCCUAAGAAGGAUUGCAAAGGCAAGGCUGGCUCGAGCACAGAGUGCUGGAAGUUGCUGUGAUUGUACUGCAGAUGUGACGUGGGGACCUGGUGUGUGUCACGACCUUUCCACGCUGGAGUUUUUGCAAAUGACAUUGGGUCCACUUGACCCAGAGUUUUUUGUUGGUGAAGCUUACUGCCGUGCUCCAGACGUGCUUCUGAAACUUUUUGCUGAGGCUCUG
Molecule: long non-coding RNA, 411 nt
Filed under: Anser cygnoides (Swan goose)
Lineage: Eukaryota; Metazoa; Chordata; Aves; Anseriformes; Anatidae
Description: lncRNA (ENSACDG00005016482.1)
Source: RNAcentral